CUAACUCAAGAGGCGACCCAUUUUGAAGAUGUGGAUGACCGAGCUAGGGGGAGGAGCCCAGAAGAAUCCUUUCAGGAGAAGAAUGACUUGGAAGUUUGGAUUUCAAAUAUCAUCUUCAUAACUUUUCUGACGUAGCUCAAACGUGAAAGGCGAAUCACCGAAAAAGGGCUGCGCACCAAGAGCAACAACCUGUUUUCUAUGCUCUCCAAACAAGGAAGCGAGCUACACAUCACCAUUGUGCGCUCUUUCAACUGAGAAAUGCUGUCACUAGUGAGUGGCUCUGUUGGCUUGCACUAACACAGUUUAACAACUAGGAGUGGAACAGGAAGCAGAGUUUUACGUGGCACCAGUCUUACGAAACUUACGGAACAAAUGGAAAAAUCCACGUUGAUGUCACGCUGAAAAUCACCACGAAUUGGUCGAGCAUCCACUUACCACUGCAGCUGUCAGCCAUAAUAACACAGCGUGCAACAGUUACAAACUGAGUCAGGUUCUAAAUUGCAUUGCGAGUAUAAGUGGUUUAGAGAAUGAAUGAAUGAAUGCAUGAAUGAAUUUAGAUUUGUUUUUGUUUGUCGCAUUGAUUGAAUGUACGUCAUAUAUUUUUUAGAGCAGUACAGGUGGAGCCUGCUGGCAAUUUUCAGAAGAUAUGAUGUAUAUUUUACACAACAACAAUGACACCCCCACCCAAAAAAACAGGCUAUAACUGGAUUUUCUUUUGGGUCAUUUUUGUUCAACUAAACAUAUCUAUCAAUCAUUACUCAAAGUCUCUCGGACAAGAAACUCUCGACUUGUAUGACUUUUUUUUUUAAAAGAAAUAUCAUGAAACAAAAUAGAAUAAAGACAAAUGA
Molecule: long non-coding RNA, 848 nt
Organism: Hippocampus zosterae (dwarf seahorse)
Lineage: Eukaryota; Metazoa; Chordata; Actinopteri; Syngnathiformes; Syngnathidae
Exons: 2
Source: RefSeq, a predicted model, not a curated record